CCUACGGGGUGCAGCAGUGGGGAAUAUUGGACAAUGGGCGAAAGCCUGAUCCAGCCAUGCCGCGUGUGUGAAGAAGGCCUUCGGGUUGUAAAGCACUUUCAGUGGGGAAGAAAGCCUUGGGGCUAAUACCCUCGAGGAAGGACAUCACCCACAGAAGAAGCACCGGCUAACUCCGUGCCAGCAGCCGCGGUAAUACGGAGGGUGCGAGCGUUAAUCGGAAUUACUGGGCGUAAAGCGCGCGUAGGCGGUCUGAUAAGCCGGUUGUGAAAGCCCCGGGCUCAACCUGGGAACGGCAUCCGGAACUGUCAGGCUAGAGUGCAGGAGAGGAAGGUAGAAUUCCCGGUGUAGCGGUGAAAUGCGUAGAGAUCGGGAGGAAUACCAGUGGCGAAGGCGGCCUUCUGGACUGACACUGACGCUGAGGUGCGAAAGCGUGGGUAGCAAACGGGAUUAGAUACCCCAGUAGUC
Molecule: ribosomal RNA, 465 nt
Filed under: Vreelandella stevensii
Lineage: Bacteria; Pseudomonadati; Pseudomonadota; Gammaproteobacteria; Oceanospirillales; Halomonadaceae
Description: partial 16S ribosomal RNA
Rfam family: Bacterial small subunit ribosomal RNA
Source: RNAcentral